Non-coding RNA from Phoenix dactylifera (date palm), 1483 nucleotides. The record is from RefSeq and is a predicted model, not a curated record. Lineage: Eukaryota; Viridiplantae; Streptophyta; Magnoliopsida; Arecales; Arecaceae.
UUAGGCCCAUUGUAUACGAGCUAUUUAAUGAGAGAUACUUAGAUGGAGAGAAGCCAAGAAGAUCGAAUAGGAUCCGGGCUUUGCAUGGAUCUCUCUCACUCUCAAGGAGAAAUCGCAUGAGUUUAUUAGCCUUCCUUCUCCUAAUGUGAGUCCGCGGCGCUAAAUACGCGCUUGGCCUCAGCCAGGCCUACAUAUGCACGCUCAAACGCGCGCCCGCACGCACAAAGGGGUUGCAGGACGGCGGUUGAGAACCAGGGGACUCGCCGUGGUGCCCUAGGAAAUGCGACUCCGCUAGCUUCCUCGGAGCUCUUCCCAUCUCCAUUCUCAUGCCACCAGCUUCGCAUGGCUGUUGCAACUCUCUGUAGUAUUUGGUUAUCUUCUACAAGUAGUAUAUGUAAGCCUUCAAGAGGAUUUUGAUCUGUAACUAUUGAAGCUACACAGUCCCCCUUAUGCACACUAUACUGCAUAUCCUGACUUUUAAGGAGCCUUGAACUUCUACAAAUUGGAUGCGUCAGAAUCAUCUGAACUGAUAGCAUCAAAAUGAAUGGAAUCCAAUUCAUGGCUUUCAUGCAAGUCUUCAUCCAUGGUUGAGUUUAACAGAUUCCUACCAUUUUGGUUUUUGAAGUUUACCUCAUUUACAACAGCGUCCAAGAUAUGGAUCAUCUUUGUCUUGUAUAAUGGUUUGCUAAUCAUCAAAAAAUGCCCUCUCCGUCGCAGCUCCACCUUGAUGGCAUUGGAGCAAGGAUUGGGGUGCCGGCCAUGCACUCGCUGCCAGCCAACAGGUUCUGUAUCAACAAGGAACCAACUCCAGGCAAUUGCAUAGCGUUGAACUCCUUGGAAUGGAGCAGUAUCAUUAGAUACCAAUUGCACCUGUAGGUGCUGCUUUGUUUUGCUCGGCGUCGAGCCAUAAGGCUUGGUUGCAGAAAAUCAGUAGCAAGUAUCUCCUUCAAAUUGUUCGUGAACAAAAAAGACAUCACGAUGAUUUUGUGAAGUCAUCAAUCUUUACAAAAGAAUCAAAUAAUCAUUACAAAACUAUUUGCUUCAACCAGCCAAGGAGCACUUCUGAAGCCUAUAUAAUUUAAAUCAAACCAAAGAGUCAGCCAAACCAUUUACCAUGAUGGCCAGGCGUGCAACAAAGAUGCUGUAGUAGGAGGAGAGACAGCCAGUAGUUUGGUAGCUCAAUUCCUCUUCUUCUGCCGCCUCAUGGGUAAUUCUCCUCUGUGGAAGGGUGGAUGUUCUGCUCUCUCUGCAGUUGAUGAAGUUGUGGAGCUUCUUGAAGAGCAUCUCCGAUGGCCUCAUCGCAGCUGAAGAAGUCUGAUGUGCCCCUUCUGCCAUGCUUCAUCCACCUGAGAAAAAAUAUUCUGCAUUACCAAGUAUCCAUUGUUGUAAAGCAAUGCUCAGUGUGGCCCGGUUUUGACACUGUGAUAUGUCAACUCCCACUUAACAAGGAUCCUGUAGCAAAUUCCCAAAAGCAGUUUGCUCA